RNAcentral lists this ribosomal RNA (459 nucleotides) under uncultured bacterium. Its description in RNAcentral is "partial 16S ribosomal RNA". It matches the Rfam family "Bacterial small subunit ribosomal RNA", at positions 338 to 795 of the family's 1533-position model. The record is from RNAcentral.
CCUACGGGUGGCAGCAGUGAGGAAUAUUGGUCAAUGGCCGAGAGGCUGAACCAGCCAAGUCGCGUGAGGGAAGACGGACCUACGGGUUGUAAACCUCUUUUGUCGGGGAGCAAAGCGAGUCACGUGUGACUCAUUGAGAGUACCCGAAGACAAAGCAUCGGCAAACUCCGUGCCAGCAGUCGCGGUAAUACGGAGGAUGCGAGCGUUAUCCGGAUUUAUUGGGUUUAAAGGGUGCGCAGGCGGAGGGGCAGGUCAGCGGUCAAGUUGCGGGGCUCAACCCCGUACUGCCGUUGAAACUGCAGCCCUUGAGUGCGCGAGAAGUAGGCGGAAUGCGUGGUGUAGCGGUGAAAUGCAUAGAUAUCACGCAGAACUCCGAUUGCGAAGGCAGCAUACCGGCGCGCAACUGACGCUCAUGCACGAAAGCGUGGGUAUCGAACAGGAUUAGAUACCCUUGUAGUC